AUCUGAUCUCAAAUCAGGUAGGACUACCCGCUGAACUUAAGCAUAUCAA
This 49-nucleotide ribosomal RNA is filed under the name Ceratobasidiaceae sp. RNAcentral describes it as "partial 28S ribosomal RNA". Lineage: Eukaryota; Fungi; Basidiomycota; Agaricomycetes; Cantharellales; Ceratobasidiaceae. The record is from RNAcentral.